RNAcentral lists this ribosomal RNA (301 nucleotides) under uncultured bacterium. RNAcentral describes it as "bacterial SSU rRNA". It matches the Rfam family "Bacterial small subunit ribosomal RNA", at positions 29 to 334 of the family's 1533-position model. The record is from RNAcentral.
AACGAACGCUGGCGGCGUGCCUAACACAUGCAAGUCGAACGAGAAAGCUCUUCGGAGUGAGUAUAGUGGCGAACGGGUGAGUAAUGCAUAGGAACGUACCGAUAAGUGGGGAAUAACAGUUGGAAACGACUGCUAAUACCGCAUGUGGAGUUAUCUAAAGGUGGCCUCUUCUUGAAAGCUACCGCUUAUCGAUCGGCCUAUGUCCCAUUAGCUAGUUGGCGGGGUAAUGGCCCACCAAGGCAACGAUGGGUAGCUGGUCUGAGAGGAUGAUCAGCCACACUGGGACUGAGACACGGCCCAG